This 587-nucleotide ribosomal RNA is filed under the name uncultured bacterium. RNAcentral's name for it is "bacterial SSU rRNA". It matches the Rfam family "Bacterial small subunit ribosomal RNA", at positions 338 to 916 of the family's 1533-position model. The record is from RNAcentral.
CCUACGGGAGGCAGCAGUGGGGAAUAUUGGACAAUGGGCGCAAGCCUGAUCCAGCCAUGCCGCGUGUGUGAAGAAGGCCUUCGGGUUGUAAAGCACUUUUGUCCGGAAAGAAAAGCUUCGGGUUAAUACCCCGGGGUCCUGACGGUACCGGAAGAAUAAGCACCGGCUAACUUCGUGCCAGCAGCCGCGGUAAUACGAGGGGUGCAAGCGUUACUCGGAAUUACUGGGCGUAAAGCGUGCGUAGGUGGUUUGUUAAGUCUGAUGUGAAAGCCCUGGGCUCAACCUGGGAAUGGCAUUGGAUACUGGCGAGCUAGAGUGCGGUAGAGGGUAGUGGAAUUCCCGGUGUAGCAGUGAAGUGCGUAGAGAUCGGGAGGAACAUCUGUGGCGAAGGCGACUACCUGGACCAGCACUGACACUGAGGCACGAAAGCGUGGGGAGCAAACAGGAUUAGAUACCCUGGUAGUCCACGCCCUAAACGAUGCGAACUGGAUGUUGGGAGCAAUUAGGCUCUCAGUAUCGAAGCUAACGCGUUAAGUUCGCCGCCUGGGGAGUACGGUCGCAAGACUGAAACUCAAAGGAAUUGACGG